CACUCUGGGAUAAGCGCUGGAAACGGCGUCUAAUACUGGAUACGACCAACCCUUGCAUGGGGUGUUGGUGGAAAGAUUUAUCGGUGGUGGAUGGACUCGCGGCCUAUCAGCUUGUUGGUGGGGUAAUGGCCUACCAAGGCGACGACGGGUAGCCGGCCUGAGAGGGUGACCGGCCACACUGGGACUGAGACACGGCCCAGACUCCUACGGGAGGCAGCAGUGGGGAAUCUUCCGCAAUGGACGAAAGUCUGACGGAGCAACGCCGCGUGAGUGAUGACGGCCUUCGGGUUGUAAAGCUCUGUUAAUCGGGACGAAUGGUUCUUGUGCAAAUAGUGCGAGGAUUUGACGGUACCGGAAUAGAAAGCCACGGCUAACUACGUGCCAGCAGCCGCGGUAAUACGUAGGUGGCAAGCGUUGUCCGGAAUUAUUGGGCGUAAAGCGCGCGCAGGCGGAUUGGUCAGUCUGUCUUAAAAGUUCGGGGCUUAACCCCGUGAUGGGAUGGAAACUGCCAAUCUAGAGUAUCGGAGAGGAAAGUGGAAUUCCUAGUGUAGCGGUGAAAUGCGUAGAUAUUAGGAAGAACACC
Molecule: ribosomal RNA, 583 nt
Filed under: Glaesserella parasuis
Lineage: Bacteria; Pseudomonadati; Pseudomonadota; Gammaproteobacteria; Pasteurellales; Pasteurellaceae
Description: bacterial SSU rRNA
Rfam family: Bacterial small subunit ribosomal RNA
Source: RNAcentral